AUAAAUUUGUCAGGCAUUUGAAACUCAACAAUGUCGUAAUGAAUCAAAGGUAAACGAGCGGCUCCACCUAACCUUGCCUCAAAAAAGUCCCAACCCAAACGUGUGUCAAAUAUCUGGUAUGGACGCCACACCCAAUCUGUUUCCAACAUGUCAUCAAUCUCUCCUCGGUAAAACACAAGAUGGUGAUGUGGAUUUUUGCGGUGCUGAUAUUGUUUGGAAUUUGGAUCAAAAGAAGAGUAUGCCCAUGAUAGUGCCCUAGGUAUCAACUUAUGGGAAUUAGGCCUAGGGGUAGGACGACCA
This 300-nucleotide long non-coding RNA is filed under the name Panax ginseng (ginseng). RNAcentral's name for it is "long non-coding RNA (PGIN_LNC005654)". Lineage: Eukaryota; Viridiplantae; Streptophyta; Magnoliopsida; Apiales; Araliaceae. The record is from RNAcentral.